RNAcentral lists this ribosomal RNA (440 nucleotides) under uncultured bacterium. RNAcentral describes it as "partial 16S ribosomal RNA". It matches the Rfam family "Bacterial small subunit ribosomal RNA", at positions 338 to 795 of the family's 1533-position model. The record is from RNAcentral.
UCUACGGGUGGCAGCAGUGGGGAAUAUUGCACAAUGGGGGGAACCCUGAUGCAGCGACGCCGCGUGAAGGAAGAAGUAUUUCGGUAUGUAAACUUCUAUCAGCAGGGAAGAAAAUGACGGUACCUGACUAAGAAGCCCCGGCCAACUACGUGCCAGCAGCCGCGGUAAUACGAAGGGGGCAAGCGUUAUCCGGAUUGACGGGGUGUAAAGGGAGCGUAGACGGGAGCGCAAGUCUGGAGUGAAAUGCCGGGGCCCAACCCGGGAACUGCCCUGGAAACUGUGAAGUUGGAGUGCAGGAGAGGUAAGCGGAAUUCCUGGUGUAGCGGUGAAAUGCGUAGAUAUCAGGAGGAACACCGGCGGCGAAGGCGGCUUACUGGACUGUAACUGACGUUGAGGCUCGAAGGCGUGGGGAGCAAACAGGAUUAGAUACCCGAGUAGUC